This 19-nucleotide small RNA is filed under the name Arabidopsis thaliana (thale cress). RNAcentral's name for it is "Ath_wt_17135". Lineage: Eukaryota; Viridiplantae; Streptophyta; Magnoliopsida; Brassicales; Brassicaceae. The record is from RNAcentral.
CGGCGUUCGAAUUGUAGUC